This 859-nucleotide ribosomal RNA is filed under the name uncultured bacterium. RNAcentral describes it as "SSU rRNA". It matches the Rfam family "Bacterial small subunit ribosomal RNA", at positions 524 to 1381 of the family's 1533-position model. The record is from RNAcentral.
UACGGAGGGUGCAAGCAUUAAUCGGAAUAACUGGGCGUAAAGGGCGCGUAGGCGUUUAGGAAAGUUGUAUGUGAAAUUACAUAGCUUAACUAUGUAGCGGCAUACAAAACUUCCUGGAUUGAGGAUAAGUGAGGAAAAGGGAAUUCCACGUGUAGCGGUGAAAUGCGUAGAUAUGUGGAGGAACACCAGAGGCGAAGGCGCUUUUCUAACUUAUACCUGACGCUGAGGCGCGAAAGCAAGGGGAGCAAACAGGAUUAGGUACCCUGGUAGUCCUUGCCGUAAACGAUGCAUACUUGAUGUAUUGGGGCUCAACCCCCGAUGUGUCGAAGCUAACGCGAUAAGUAUGCCGCCUGAGGAGUACAUUCGCAAGGAUGAAACUCAAAAGAAUUGACGGGGACCCGCACAAGCAGUGGAGCAUGUGGUUUAAUUCGAUGCAACGCGAAGAACCUUACCCAGGCUUGACAUGCACACGACAGUAGAGGAAACUCUAUCUUCCGCAAGGACAUGUGCACAGGUGCUGCAUGGCUGUCGUCAGCUCGUGCCGUGAGGUGUUAGGUUAAGUCCUGCAACGAGCGCAACCCUUAUCGUUAGUUGCCAACACGUAAUGGUGGGAACUCUAACGAGACUGCCUGGGUUAACCAGGAGGAAGGUGAGGAUGACGUCAAGUCCGCAUGGCCCUCAUGUCUGGGGCUACACACGUGCUACAAUGGUCGGUACAGAAGGCAGCGAAGCCGAAAGGUGGAGCAAAUCCUAUAAAGCCGAUCCCAGUUCGGAUUGAAGUCUGCAACUUGGCUUCAUGAAGUUGGAAUUGCUAGUAAUGGCGAGUCAGCAACAUCGCCGUGAAUACGUUCCCGGGUCU